AUACCAUGAUGUGGACACGUAACCAGCAGACCCUUGAACCUCUCCCACGUUUCUUGUAAUAUCUCCAUUGGUUUCUGUCUGAAGCUCAAUAUCUCAUCAAUUUGUUG
RNAcentral lists this small nucleolar RNA (107 nucleotides) under Nicotiana attenuata. RNAcentral's name for it is "Plant small nucleolar RNA R71". It matches the Rfam family "Plant small nucleolar RNA R71". Rfam says of the family: R71 is a member of the C/D box family of snoRNAs containing the C (UGAUGA) and D (CUGA) box motifs. Multiple nearly identical copies of this snoRNA have been identified in Arabidopsis, and it is thought to function as a 2'-O-ribose methylation guide for 18S ribosomal RNA. Lineage: Eukaryota; Viridiplantae; Streptophyta; Magnoliopsida; Solanales; Solanaceae. The record is from Rfam by way of RNAcentral.